GAUCAUGGCUCAGGAUGAACGCUGGCGGCGUGCUUAACACAUGCAAGUCGAACGAAGAUGCCGGAGUGCUUGCACUUUGGCAGACUGAGUGGCGGACGGGUGAGUAACGCGUGGGUAACCUGCCUUAUACAGGGGGAUAACAGUUGGAAACGACUGCUAAUACCGCAUAAGCGCACGGUAUCGCAUGAUACAGUGUGAAAAACUCCGGUGGUAUGAGAUGGACCCGCGUCUGAUUAGCCAGUUGGCGGGGUAACGGCCCACCAAAGCGACGAUCAGUAGCCGACCUGAGAGGGUGACCGGCCACAUUGGGACUGAGACACGGCCCAAACUCCUACGGGAGGCAGCAGUGGGGAAUAUUGCACAAUGGGGGAAACCCUGAUGCAGCGACGCCGCGUGAGCGAAGAAGUAUUUCGGUAUGUAAAGCUCUAUCAGCAGGGAAGAAGAAUGACGGUACCUGACUAAGAAGCACCGGCUAAAUACGUG
RNAcentral lists this ribosomal RNA (483 nucleotides) under uncultured bacterium. RNAcentral describes it as "bacterial SSU rRNA". It matches the Rfam family "Bacterial small subunit ribosomal RNA", at positions 15 to 507 of the family's 1533-position model. The record is from RNAcentral.